This 228-nucleotide long non-coding RNA is filed under the name Homo sapiens (human). RNAcentral's name for it is "lncAB53.1". The record is from RNAcentral. Lineage: Eukaryota; Metazoa; Chordata; Mammalia; Primates; Hominidae.
GACAUGAGCAGGGCCUCAGCUAACCCACAAAUAGCACAUGUGUGCAAACUGGAAAAAUGAACCCUUCUUCUGGGAGGACGCCAGCCCAGGCCAGGUCACCCGGCUUGGCCAGCAGAACACAGAGUGGAUUUUGGUCCCGUUUGUUCCCCAGUGGGGUAUCUAUCCUUGUGCAGGGCACAAGCUUACAUGGUGGCUCUGGUCAUUUCAUUAGAAAAUAGACAGAAAUGG